RNAcentral lists this ribosomal RNA (116 nucleotides) under Fusarium fujikuroi. RNAcentral also lists the same sequence under 22 other names. The record is from RNAcentral. Lineage: Eukaryota; Fungi; Ascomycota; Sordariomycetes; Hypocreales; Nectriaceae.
ACGACCAUACCUACCAGAAAAUACGGGAUCCCGUCCGCUCUCCCAUAGUCAAGCUGGUAAGGGGCGGAUUAGUAGUUGGGUCGGUGACGACCAGCGAAUCCCCGCUGUUGUAUGUU